Molecule: unclassified non-coding RNA, 1489 nt
Filed under: Leishmania donovani
Lineage: Eukaryota; Euglenozoa; Kinetoplastea; Trypanosomatida; Trypanosomatidae
Description: gene:LdHU3.05.1080(CDS-product:3-mercaptopyruvate _sulfurtransferase)
Source: RNAcentral
UCAAGCAGGUAAGAAUAUUCAAAGGUCUCUCUCUAACGCCCCUCUUUCGUCUCCCUGUCUCGGUAUGUCUGCUCCCGCUGCUGCGCCGAAACACCCGGGCAAGGUGUUCCUGGACCCGUGUGAGGUAAAGGACCACCUUGCCGAGUACCGCAUCGUGGACUGCCGGUACAGCUUGAAGGUAAAGGACCACGGCAGCAUUGAGUACGCGAAGGAGCACGUGAAGAGCGCCAUCCGCGCCGAUAUGGAUACGAACCUCUCCAAGUUGGUGCCCACCAGCACCGCCCGGCACCCGCUACCGCCCUGUGCUGAGUUUAUCGAAUGGUGCAUGGCGAACGGGAUGGCGGGAGAGCUGCCGGUGCUCUGCUACGAUGACGAGUGCGGCGCCAUGGGUGGAUGCCGCCUGUGGUGGAUGCUGAACUCUCUUGGCGCCGAGGCGUACGUGAUCAACGGCGGCUUUCAGGCCUGCAAGGCUGCGGGGCUGGAGAUGGAGUCAGGCGAGCCCCCGUCGCCGCCGACGCCCCCUACGCACUGGCCCUUCAAGACGGCCUUUCAGCAUCACUAUCUCGUGGAUGAGAUCCCGCCCAACGCGAUCAUCACCGACGCGCGCUCCGCCGACCGCUUCGCCUCGACAGUACGGCCUUACGCCGCAGACAAGAUGCCAGGCCACAUCGAAGGCGCGCGUAACCUCCCCUACACGUCGCACCUCGUGAUACGCGGUGACGGCAAGGUGCUGCGCAGUGAGGAGGAGAUCCGCCACAACAUCAUGACCGUCGUGCAGGGCACGGGUGACGCGACUGAUCUGUCGAGCUUCGUCUUCUCCUGCGGCAGCGGCGUCACCGCCUGCAUCAAUAUCGCCCUGGUGCACCACCUCGGCCUGGGCCAUCCGUACCUCUACUGUGGCUCCUGGUCUGAGUAUAGCGGCCUCUUCCGCCUCCCCAUAAUGCGCAGCAUCAUCGACGACUACGGCAUGUGCAUGCAAAUGCAGACCCCUAGCCUCGGCGACAACCCGAAGGCAAACCUCGACACCAUGACUCUGAAGGUCGACGGCGCGCCCUGCGAGAGACCCGAUGCGGAGGUGCAGAGCGCCGCAGCCCACCUCCACGCUGGCGAGGCCGCUACUGUGUACUUCAAAAGCGGCCGCGUCGUCACGAUCGAGGUGCCGGCAGUGCCCAACUAAGCGCGGCGUGGGCCCAGCAGCGCCUGACCAUGGGAGAUAACGCGCGGCGAGGAAGGCGAAGAGGUGUGGUGCACCAGCGGUGUAUUUGCGCACGCCUCUGUGUGUGCAUCCGCCCGGGUGAACUCCCCUCCUCGCUUAUACCCCUACAGCGACCCCACCCCCCCCAGCGCACGCAAGCACCCGGCUACUCGAAAGUGCUAGCGGGCAUUGCGUGUGUCUACCCGCUGAUGGGGUGACUUCAAGCACAAAAAAGCACAGAGGCACUUGUAGCGCAUGACCCGUCAGCCAUCGCCACCAUGGCGAGCCCCGAAC